CUCUUCCCCUUUUACUUCACGUGAACCAGAAAAGUAAAACAAAAUUUCAAACCCUGCUUCAACUUCACGUGGACUCUCAUUGCACCGCCGCACCAACCACCGCCGUCAACCACGACGCUGCUCCUCCUCAAUCCGACGGUCGGUACUUCUUCUUCCUCCCCUUCUCCUUCGUUUUCCCUUUUCCCUUUCGUUUUCCUCCUCUCGAUCCUUAUGUGACGGUUAUGUUUACUCGGCAGCCACCACCGAGCCGCUGCCACCAUCGACCCGCACAACCAACGCACACCACCAGUCGCGUCGUUGCACUAGCCGCCGCAGUCUCCCGGUCAGGCUGUCCCUCCUUUCUCCUCCUCUCUUCUGUGCUUCUUGCUCAAUCACGCAACCACCGAGUGCGACCUCCACAGUCACCGCCUCCAACGGCGUCUCUCGUUCGACCACCAGACGCAACCACCUUCACUCUGCGCCCAGCCGCCGCUGCCGCGCCUCCCUUGCCGCCGGCCAGCAUCCCCUUGAAGCUUUAAUUGGCGGAGCAUUCUUUGUAGGCGACUUUUGAAAGUGUUAAAGUGGCCUACUAGUUGUUUAUACAAGUCUCUAAGGAUCAAUAAGCAUUGUCCAUCUGCAGGUUUGAAGAUGUUGCAUCAUUGGGAUCGGGAAUAGAGAGCUUGUAUUUAGUUUUGAUUUGCUAAGUUGACUUGGGUUUGCUUAACUGGACUUUAAACUUGUCAUACUAUUUAUAUUUCCUUAUUUUCGUUGGUUGAUUUUUGGGACUAAACCUGUAAUCGAUUAUUUAUAAACCUAAAGUUA
This is a long non-coding RNA of Spinacia oleracea (spinach), 801 nucleotides long. RefSeq lists it as uncharacterized. The transcript is spliced from 3 exons. The record is from RefSeq and is a predicted model, not a curated record. NCBI's taxonomy places the organism in Eukaryota, Viridiplantae, Streptophyta, Magnoliopsida, Caryophyllales, Amaranthaceae.